UACGGGCGAUAUGUACACACCUUAUUACCUUAUUCAGCCCAUUAUUCUUAAAUAAGCUUACUAAUAAAUCCACCUUCAGUAAAAUUUUAAUUUUAAACAUCCGUUUUCUUAAAAAAAUUGUAGCUCAUCUCUACCUUUAUAUAAACUGCACCUUGACCUGAAGUAAAAAAAAAAUUAUCUUUAAAGAAAACAUCCUUAUGGAGUAAUCUGACAACGGAGGUAUACAAGCUAUACAAAUAAAGGUAAGGUAUAACGAGGGUUAUCGAUUAUAGGACAAGCUCCUCUAUUUGGAUAAGGUGCCGCCAAAAUCUUUGGGUUUGAAGAAUAACUUUUACUACCCCAUUUAAAUAUAGUAAAGAAUAACAGGGUAUCUAAUCCUGGUUUUUAAUCUUUAGUUUUUAAUCCUUUUAAAUAAAUUAAAGAUUAUUUAUUUCUUUAUAUAAAUUUCACCUAAAAAAAAGAAAUAAUUUAACUUUAUUUUAUUUACCAUUAAUUAAAUUAAUUAAUAAUUCUAUUUAGAUUCUUCGUCUAACC
RNAcentral lists this ribosomal RNA (534 nucleotides) under Daphnia barbata. Its description in RNAcentral is "partial 12S ribosomal RNA". The record is from RNAcentral. Lineage: Eukaryota; Metazoa; Arthropoda; Branchiopoda; Diplostraca; Daphniidae.